GAUAAGACUUAUCAAGAUUUUGAUGAGUUGAUUCAGGAAGCUACAGAGUUGGUUUGUGAAGAUACCCAAAUGGGAAAAAUCAAUUCUUUUGAGGACCCAAUGGUUGAAAUUGGAAAAAAGGAUGAGGUUUUGAAGAAGGGUUUGGUUACAAGUGGUGAAUUGAUUAAUGUUUCUUCUUCAGGGAUCAAGCACAAAGAGAAGUACAGCUUGAUGAAAGUAGCUGCCCUAAUUGAAAAUGCCGCCAAAACUCGAG
This 253-nucleotide unclassified non-coding RNA is filed under the name Hevea brasiliensis (rubber tree). The record is from RNAcentral. Lineage: Eukaryota; Viridiplantae; Streptophyta; Magnoliopsida; Malpighiales; Euphorbiaceae.